Molecule: long non-coding RNA, 1345 nt
Organism: Agrilus planipennis (emerald ash borer)
Lineage: Eukaryota; Metazoa; Arthropoda; Insecta; Coleoptera; Buprestidae
Exons: 4
Source: RefSeq, a predicted model, not a curated record
UAGAAUUAGUAAAUUUUGACAAUGUAUGGAAGAAUGUAUUUGUGUUCCUUUUAUUUAACUAAUAAGACUUAAUUAUUAGUUAAAGAUUGAUUAUUUAACAGGCGAUUUUACAAGAGAGGGGUGCAUUCGAGGAGUUAUAAGUUGAUGGGUCCUUUAGGAAUUGAGGACAUUAAAUAUAUUUCCUAAUUAAAAUAGUCAGAUGAAGUCUGACCCACAUUAAGUGUAUAUAAAAAAAAUGAAAAUUAUACAAACUUUGGACACCAUGGGAUGUCAUCAGGCAUUUGACCAGUGCUCAAAGGAGACGCCUUUAGCUGCAGAACGUGGCAGUACCUGAAAGAAGUGUAAAAGUGUCUCUUUAAACACAGAAAACAAAUAACGCGAUACCUAUCUUUUGCUAAAGGAAGGAUUUGCAAUCAUUAAUUGACAUUGCCUUGUGUGCACCACAGGGUAACACAAUUAAAAGAGUCAUCACCGUUUCGGGCAUAGCUUUAGAAUAUUCUUGCAAGCCUUAUAGCAGUAUGCAGUGCAUGAGUGUAUCUCGUUUUUGCUGUCCGUUGGUCUAUGCUGUCUAUAAAGGGAGACGACGCCUGAAGGUAUUUAGCCCUAAUCCUUAUUCAAUUUUCAUUUGAUUGUGUGGAAUAUGUUUCUAUUUCGUGAUUGAUGGGUUUCGAUUACCGUUGCUUAGAUCUUUUUUGACGUGAUGUCUUCGUGCUUCAACAUGGGAGUCCAUCUUGGCAUCUUGCCUGGUCGUUCAUCUACUGUGAAUUUUUAUAAACUCUUAGUUUAUUUCAGGUCGAAUAAUUAUGGUUUUGUAAGAAUUUUUAAAUUUUCAAAACAGGUUUAGGCGAUGAUUGUAGAUUUUUCGUAUCGAUGUGACCACGCCUUGAAACAUUGCCCUCGUUUUAUAGCCAAAAUAUAUAAAAUAUUUCUCAAAAAUAUUCAUCUGCCUUCAAAAAUUCUAUAUUUAUGUUAGAAAAAUUUUCAUUUUUGCCUCGUUAUUCUAGAGUUUGAAUUUUAACUUGUUUUUUUUUUAUAAUACAGGCUUGCUGUCAGAUAACAACCUAAGAUUGGAUGGACAAACUACUUACAGAUGUUAUGUCUUUUAAAGUGUGACUUAUUUUAUUUCCGAAAAUGCCUCUAAUGAGUUGAUUGAAAAAUUCAUUGGACAUAAAAUGUUAACAAUGGUUUCCAUUAAAACAUAAAGAUGAACAUGAGGAGGUAAAUCGAAAGGAGUCGAAACGUGGAGAAACAGAGCCCUCACUCACACUUUCUUCUCUUGGACUUGGAAAGGACAGUUGUAUUUAUGAAAUGGUUUGUGAAUUUUUAAAUCUUGUAUUUCGUUAGU